RNAcentral lists this ribosomal RNA (253 nucleotides) under uncultured bacterium. RNAcentral describes it as "partial 16S ribosomal RNA". It matches the Rfam family "Bacterial small subunit ribosomal RNA", at positions 524 to 776 of the family's 1533-position model. The record is from RNAcentral.
UACGGAGGGGGCAAGCGUUGAUCGGAAUUACUGGGCGUAAAGCGCACGUAGGCGGAUGUUUAAGUCGGGGGUGAAAUCCCGGGGCUCAACCCCGGAAUGGCCUUCGAUACUGGACGUCUGGAGGUCGGGAGAGGGGAGUGGAAUUCCGGGUGUAGAGGUGAAAUUCGUAGAUAUUCGGAGGAACACCAGUGGCGAAGGCGGCUCUCUGGCCCGAUACUGACGCUGAGGUGCGAAAGCGUGGGGAGCAAACAGG